GCGUGCCUAAUACAUGCAAGUCGAGCGGACCGACGGGAGCUUGCUCCCUUAGGUCAGCGGCGGACGGGUGAGUAACACGUGGGUAACCUGCCUGUAAGACUGGGAUAACUCCGGGAAACCGGGGCUAAUACCGGAUGCUUGAUUGAACCGCAUGGUUCCAAUCAUAAAAGGUGGCUUUUAGCUACCACUUACAGAUGGACCCGCGGCGCAUUAGCUAGUUGGUGAGGUAACGGCUCACCAAGGCGACGAUGCGUAGCCGACCUGAGAGGGUGAUCGGCCACACUGGGACUGAGACACGGCCCAGACUCCUACGGGAGGCAGCAGUAGGGAAUCUUCCGCAAUGGACGAAAGUCUGACGGAGCAACGCCGCGUGAGUGAUGAAGGUUUUCGGAUCGUAAAACUCUGUUGUUAGGGAAGAACAAGUACCGUUCGAAUAGGGCGGCACCUUGACGGUACCUAACCAGAAAGCCACGGCUAACUACGUGCCAGCAGCCGCGGUAAUACGUAGGUGGCAAGCGUUGUCCGGAAUUAUUGGGCGUAAAGCGCGCGCAGGCGGUUUCUUAAGUCUGAUGUGAAAGCCCCCGGCUCAACCGGGGAGGGUCAUUGGAAACUGGGGAACUUGAGUGCAGAAGAGGAGAGUGGAAUUCCACGUGUAGCGGUGAAAUGCGUAGAGAUGUGGAGGAACACCAGUGGCGAAGGCGACUCUCUGGUCUGUAACUGACGCUG
This 726-nucleotide ribosomal RNA is filed under the name uncultured Bacilli bacterium. RNAcentral's name for it is "bacterial SSU rRNA". It matches the Rfam family "Bacterial small subunit ribosomal RNA", at positions 42 to 748 of the family's 1533-position model. The record is from RNAcentral. Lineage: Bacteria; Bacillati; Bacillota; Bacilli.